GUGAGUGCUUGCUUUUUCACAAUUCGUUUUUCAGAGAAACCUUAAAGCUCUGAAACCCUAACCGCACUUCCUAAGCCUUCAUCUUGUAGCAGCUAGCACUGAAAGUUGAAGACCUGUUCGUGUGGACUANUCAACGAAUAGAAGCAAAGAGUUUGCUGUUUCAGUUCACCAAAAGGUAUAACGUUUAACCCUGAUCAUGACCAUUCGCAAGGAUCCAUUGAAGGAAAAAU
RNAcentral lists this long non-coding RNA (230 nucleotides) under Trifolium pratense (red clover). RNAcentral's name for it is "long non-coding RNA (TPRA_LNC004158)". The record is from RNAcentral. Lineage: Eukaryota; Viridiplantae; Streptophyta; Magnoliopsida; Fabales; Fabaceae.